UAUCCCAACUUGUAUAGAACUGUUGUACAUCCACACUUCUUAAGGUCAGAUGAAAAUACUGAAUGAGAAUGCAGUUUGGCUUCUCAGGAUUACAAUCUGGGUUCGACAAAGCCCUAGCUAUCCACACUGGUUGUAUUUCACCAUCUGCAGGUCGAAUUGCAACAAAAUAUCCUUCUCGAACAUCUCGACCUAUCCUAAAAGAUGGUUGUGGGCGACCUCUCAGAGGACCAACAUAUGGAUCAUCUUCUCCAAAUUCCUCAUGAUCCUUGCCAUCAUCUG
Molecule: long non-coding RNA, 279 nt
Filed under: Physcomitrium patens
Lineage: Eukaryota; Viridiplantae; Streptophyta; Bryopsida; Funariales; Funariaceae
Description: long non-coding RNA (PPAT_LNC014478)
Source: RNAcentral